Molecule: non-coding RNA, 654 nt
Organism: Heterocephalus glaber (naked mole-rat)
Lineage: Eukaryota; Metazoa; Chordata; Mammalia; Rodentia; Bathyergidae
Source: RefSeq, a predicted model, not a curated record
CCAAAACCGGACCUGACCUUUCUCCAAAAUUUCCACUGCCAACUCUGACUUAGCUGGGACAGCUAUGAAAGAAUGAAAGUAAACACAUUUCUUCAACAACACCCUACAGCUCUCAGCUGUAAAAUAUAACUUAUUGAGAACUAAGAGCACACCUGGACCGUCUACCCUGAGGAGUGAGUGCCCGUGUUUAUCUGCAUGCAGGUAUCAUCUGUCUACAGUUUCCGGUAACCUGAUUCCUUCUUGGGACGCUGCCCAGUGCCCAGGUUCUCUGGCCCAUCACCCGAUGCUCCUGCUCACUGGCCUGUUCUCUGGUAUGAGCAAGAAUAGCCCUGGACCAUCUCCCACCUGGCGUAUCUGUGUCCCGAGGCGUCUGUGAAGAAGGGGGGAGCACUUGUCACAUGCCACAGUCACCCUCGUCAGUAUCUCAGACAGCACACAAUGAUGAUUUCGACAAUCAGGAAAAGCACAGGAAGUUAGGGGAACAGUGCUUUCAGCAUCUUACACAAUGGGAUGCAUCGUGUGUGUGUGCGUGUGUGUGUGUGUGUGUGUGUGUGUGUGUGUGACUGAGGACUGAACCUAGGGCCUCAUGCAUACCAGGCAAUUGCUGUACCAGGAGCUACAUCCCCAACCUGAGAUGAAUCUCAAGGAAGAAGU